GUAAAUCAUCGAUGUUCCCACUGUAGACUGCAGAGAGAAAUAGCUUUCAUCAUGUUCAGACUUCAUAUCUGGUUCACUUUUCUCAUUCUUUUAAUGAACUGGGCUGGUACUGAGGGUCAAACACUGACUGAGUCUGAAUCAGUGGUUAAAAGGCCUGGAGACUCCCACAGACUGACCUGUACAUACUCAGGGUUCA
This is a long non-coding RNA of Oreochromis niloticus (Nile tilapia), 196 nucleotides long. RefSeq lists it as uncharacterized. The record is from RefSeq and is a predicted model, not a curated record. The transcript has 2 exons. NCBI's taxonomy places the organism in Eukaryota, Metazoa, Chordata, Actinopteri, Cichliformes, Cichlidae.